Molecule: non-coding RNA, 203 nt
Filed under: Ctenophora environmental sample
Lineage: Eukaryota; Metazoa; Ctenophora
Source: RNAcentral
GGCAUUUAAUCGACUUGAUGAAGAGCCUUUGCUGCUGGGAGAUAGGGGCUCAAAUGCAGUGAACCUGGAAGCUGACAUUGAAAAUUUAAAGCGACGAAAUGCAAAACUCGAACGAUUGAUUCAUAAGCUUGGUUCCAAGGAAGAUGGUCGAAGCUUCAACACACAGAUUACUCGGGAAGUUUCAGAGACAACGAGAUUGGCCA